UAUGGCGAUAUCACGCUGGAAUAUCGAUACUCGUACGAUCACCGAAGUUAAGCAACCUCGAGUCAGGUCAGUACCUGGAUGAGUGACCGAUUAGGAAUAUCAGUUGCU
Molecule: non-coding RNA, 108 nt
Organism: Acanthosepion pharaonis
Lineage: Eukaryota; Metazoa; Mollusca; Cephalopoda; Sepiida; Sepiidae
Source: the annotation of a GenBank genome assembly